CGUACGAGGUACGUAGUUCGUACGCGUACGGCGUACGACGGACGACGCCGGCGGCGUAGCCUAAUACAGUGCAAGUCGAGCGGCCGGAUUGGGGCUUGCCUUGAUUCGGCAGCGGCGGACGGGUGAGUAACACGUGGCAACCUGCCCGCAAGACCGGAUAACUCCGGGAAACCGAGCUAAUACCGGAUAACACCGAAGACCGCAUGGUCUUCGGUGAAAGGCGGCCUUUGGGCUGUCACUUGCGGAUGGGCCCGCGGCGCAUUAGCUAGUUGGUGAGGUAACGGCUCACCAAGGCGACGAUGCGUAGCCGGCCUGAGAGGGUGACCGGCCACACUGGGACUGAGACACGGCCCAGACUCCUACGGGAGGCAGCAGUAGGGAAUCUUCCGCAAUGGGCGGAAGCCUGACGGAGCGACGCCGCGUGAGCGAAGAAGGCCUUCGGGUCGUAAAGCUCUGUUGUGAGGGACGAAGGAGCGCCGUUCGAAGAGGGCGGCGCGGUGACGGUACCUCACGAGAAAGCCCCGGCUAACUACGUG
This 536-nucleotide ribosomal RNA is filed under the name uncultured Geobacillus sp. Its description in RNAcentral is "bacterial SSU rRNA". It matches the Rfam family "Bacterial small subunit ribosomal RNA", at positions 1 to 507 of the family's 1533-position model. The record is from RNAcentral. Lineage: Bacteria; Bacillati; Bacillota; Bacilli; Caryophanales; Anoxybacillaceae.